This 274-nucleotide ribosomal RNA is filed under the name uncultured bacterium. RNAcentral's name for it is "partial 16S ribosomal RNA". It matches the Rfam family "Bacterial small subunit ribosomal RNA", at positions 523 to 796 of the family's 1533-position model. The record is from RNAcentral.
AUACGGAGGGAGCGAGCGUUAAUGGGAAUUACUGGGCGUAAAGCGUACGUAGGCGGUUGGUUAAGUUAGAUGGGAAAGCCCCGGGCUUAACCUGGGAACUGCAUUUAAAACUGGCGAACUAGAGUUGAGUAGAGGGGAGUGGAAUUUCAGGUGUAGCGGUGAAAUGCGUAGAGAUCUGAAGGAACACCAGUGGCGAAGGCGACUCCCUGGACUCGAACUGACGCUGAGGUACGAAAGCGUGGGUAGCAAACGGGAUUAGAUACCCUAGUAGUCC